This is a long non-coding RNA of Sinocyclocheilus anshuiensis, 489 nucleotides long. RefSeq lists it as uncharacterized. Lineage: Eukaryota; Metazoa; Chordata; Actinopteri; Cypriniformes; Cyprinidae. The record is from RefSeq and is a predicted model, not a curated record. The transcript has 3 exons.
CACCCCCUGCAUGUUAAGUCCAUGAGACCAUAGGGUGUCCCAUUGGUCAUUUUAGCUCUCAGAAGGGUGCUCGCGAGUGUCCCCUUUUCUACUGUCCGCACUUCUACCCAGCCCGCACUGAGGCGAGCUCCGCAACAGACUUCUACCCAUCAGUCAAAGUGGCAUUACGUCACGAAGAAUGACCUUCACACUGCAUUCGUCACUUUUGGAUCAAGUUACAUUCAGAUGAUCUCUCUUCCCAAAUUACAAACCAUACCUGCAGUAAAGCAAGGAAAGCAAUAAUUUUACUUUUAAGCAACGCCAGGAGAGAAAGUGUGUCUUGACCAACGAAAUAGAGCAUGGCACCCCCUGCAGCUCACUGCAUCGCUCAGUGUCAUGAGACCAUCACUUUUGAGUCAAGUCACAAACUGAUAAUCUCUCCUUGAAUAAUAUAAAAUGUUCAUUCACGUGGAAAAGAAAUGUUGUUUAUUUCCAUUGAAUAAAUUAUGA